UGGCCUGCUCCGUCAGGAAUAACGUCAGCCAGGUCUCUAAAGGAGAGGAGAUCUCUAACUGUGCUGAUCACUCCCUGCUCGUAUGUGGUGUGCGGGCAGCUGUGGUGGUUUUUGCAUUAAUCGGGAUUGCUGUCUAUUUUGCUUGGAAGAAAAAUAAAUACAAGAAGGCUGAAGGUUCUGCUUACCGUCCAGAGAGGGAACAUCAAGAUGAGUCUGUUGUGAUGGUUGAGAUGUAAGGCAUCUGAAGUUCAACUCAGGUCGUCUCUCAUCAUCUUUGUGCAUGUGAAGAAAGGGAGUGGAAGUAAUUUGCUGUUUUUAUUCUAAAAUUACUUCUGGCAAAUGUGUUCACAGUUUAGCAGCACAGCAUGAGUUGUUAUUAUUUGAGGUCUGUUAGUGUUGUUUUGCAUUUGUAUCACAGUUCAAGUACAAGUUGAGGUGCCUGCAUUUUUUCACUCUUUGUAAAUUGCAAUCAUGAUCAUUUAUAUCAUUUUAGUAUUGAACUCAGAUUGAAUCAUGUGCAUGAUAGUUUGUUGUUUUUCUCAUGUGAUUAAAAUGUCAUAGGUAUCCUUUUGCUCGUUUGCUUGCAAUACGUUCUUAUGGAAAAUCUUUUUAGUGUUGUUAUAUAUCCAAUCCAGUUGUGGUACUUUAUGAAGUUAAAUAUUGCUUUCAUGAUAAUAAAAGUAAGUAAGGUUAAUAAAGGUCUGUACAUGUUUUGUGCUUA
Trematomus bernacchii (emerald rockcod) is the source of this 721-nucleotide long non-coding RNA. RefSeq lists it as uncharacterized. Lineage: Eukaryota; Metazoa; Chordata; Actinopteri; Perciformes; Nototheniidae. The transcript is spliced from 2 exons. The record is from RefSeq and is a predicted model, not a curated record.